Molecule: non-coding RNA, 97 nt
Filed under: Kryptoperidinium triquetrum
Lineage: Eukaryota; Dinophyceae; Peridiniales; Kryptoperidiniaceae
Source: RNAcentral
CCUGAUUUUUGAGGACAACUUAAUCUUCGUGACUACGCAGGAUGAGGGCGAGGCUGGCUCUGACGCGGAGCUCCGCCGGCAGUUGGAGUGGGCCUCG